RNAcentral lists this ribosomal RNA (440 nucleotides) under uncultured bacterium. RNAcentral describes it as "partial 16S ribosomal RNA". It matches the Rfam family "Bacterial small subunit ribosomal RNA", at positions 338 to 795 of the family's 1533-position model. The record is from RNAcentral.
CCUACGGGCGGCUGCAGUGGGGAAUAUUGCACAAUGGGGGAAACCCUGAUGCAGCGACGCCGCGUGAGUGAAGAAGUAAUUCGUUAUGUAAAGCUCUAUCAGCAGGGAAGUAAAUGACGGUACCUGAGUAAGAAGCCCCGGCUAACUACGUGCCAGCAGCCGCGGUAAUACGUAGGGGGCAAGCGUUAUCCGGAUUUACUGGGUGUAAAGGGAGCGUAGACGGCAGUGCAAGUCUGGAGUGAAAGGCGGGGGCUCAACCCCCGGACUGCUCUGGAAACUGUACGGCUGGAGUGCGGGAGAGGUAAGUGGAAUUCCUAGUGUAGCGGUGAAAUGCGUAGAUAUUAGGAGGAACACCAGUGGCGAAGGCGGCUUACUGGACUGUAACUGACGUUGAGGCUCGAAAGCGUGGGGAGCAAACAGGAUUAGAUACCCCUGUAGUC